CCCUUCGACGUCUGGGGCCGCACGCGCGCUACACUGAUGCAUUCAACGAGUUUCUUCCUGGUCCGAGAGGAAUGGGUAACCUUUUGAAAGUGCAUCGUGAUAGGGAUAGACUAUUGCAAUUAUUGGUCUUCAACGAGGAAUUCCUAGUAGACGUAGUUCAUCAGACUGCAUCGAUUACGUCCCUGCCCUUUGUACACACCGCCUGUCGCUCCUACCGAUUGAAUGCUCAGGUGAGCCAUUCGGACUUUCAUCAUGCUGGUUUCCAGUUUUGAUGAAGGAAAGUCUUGCGAACCUUAUCAUUUAGAGGAAGGAGAAGUCGUAACA
RNAcentral lists this ribosomal RNA (324 nucleotides) under uncultured eukaryote. Its description in RNAcentral is "partial 18S ribosomal RNA". It matches the Rfam family "Eukaryotic small subunit ribosomal RNA", at positions 1470 to 1796 of the family's 1831-position model. The record is from RNAcentral.